GGGCGGUCCGCCAAUGGUUGGUACUGCUUUGGCUGGGGUUCACUUUCUGGUGAGCCAAUAUGCCCUUUAUUGGGUGUGUUGGGGACCCAGGACUUUUACCUUGAAAAAAUUAGAGUGUUCAAAGCAGGCGCAUGCUUGAAUACAUUAGCAUGGAAUAAUAGAAUAGGACUUGGGUUCUAUUUUGUUGGUUUCUAGGACCAAAGUAAUGAUUAAUAGGGAUAGUUGGGGGCAUUAGUAUUUAGUAGCUAGAGGUGAAAUUCUUGGAUUUACGAAAGACUAACUUCUGCGAAAGCAUUUGCCAAGGAUGUUUUCAUUAAUCAAGAACGAAAGUUAGGGGAUCGAAGACGAUCAGAUACCGUCGUAGUCUUAACCAUAAACUAUGCCGACUAGGGAUCAGACGAUGUUAAUUUACUGACUCGUUUGGCACCUUAUGAGAAAUCAAAGUUUUUGGGUUCCGGGGGGAGUAUGGUCGCAAGGCUGAAACUUAAAGGAAUUGACGGAAGGGCACCACCAGGAGUGGAGCCUGCGGCUUAAUUUGACUCAACACGGGGAAACUCACCAGGUCCAGACAUAGUAAGGAUUGACAGAUUGAGAGCUCUUUCUUGAUUCUAUGGGUGGUGGUGCAUGGCCGUUCUUAGUUGGUGGAGUGAUUUGUCUGCUUAAUUGCGUUAACGAACGAGACCUUAACCUGCUAAAUAGUUAUGCCAACAAUUGUUGGUAGUCAACUUCUUAGAGGGACUGUCGGCGAUUAGCCGACGGAAGUUUUAGGCAAUAACAGGUCUGUUAUGCCCUUAGAUGUCCUGGGCCGCACGCGCGCUACACUGAUGAAGUCAACGAGUCUAUAACCUUGGC
RNAcentral lists this ribosomal RNA (852 nucleotides) under uncultured Densosporaceae. RNAcentral's name for it is "SSU rRNA". It matches the Rfam family "Eukaryotic small subunit ribosomal RNA", at positions 657 to 1533 of the family's 1831-position model. Lineage: Eukaryota; Fungi; Mucoromycota; Endogonomycetes; Endogonales; Densosporaceae. The record is from RNAcentral.